Molecule: small nuclear RNA, 107 nt
Organism: Perognathus longimembris pacificus (Pacific pocket mouse)
Lineage: Eukaryota; Metazoa; Chordata; Mammalia; Rodentia; Heteromyidae
Source: RefSeq, a predicted model, not a curated record
AUGCUCACUGUGGCAGCACAUAGACCUGAAUUAGGAUGAUUCAGAGCAUAUUAGUAUGGCCCUUGAGCAAGGAGGACAUGCAAAUUCGUGAAGUGUUCCAAAUGAAA